AACGAACGCUGGCGGCAGGCCUAACACAUGCAAGUCGAGCGGGAACGUCGGGCUGAGCGGCGGUCCGGUGAGGAACGCCUGGGAACGUACCCUUGUCUACGGAACAGCCUCGGGAAAGUGAGAGUAAUAAAGCAUAGGCCAAUAGGGGGAAAGAUGUACCGGAAAAGGAUCGGGGCGGGUUGGAUUAGGCAGUUGGUGGGGUAAUGGCCUAUCAAGCGGACGAUGCAUAGCUGGUGGGAGAGGAUGAUCAGCCACACUGGGGCUGAGACACGGGCCAGACUCCUACGGAAGGCAGGAGUGGGGAAUCUUAUACGAUGGGGGCAAACCUGAGCUAGCCGUGCCGCGUAAGUGAUGAAGGCGUUAGGGAAGUGAAGCUCUUUGAGAUGGGAAGUUAGUGACGGUACCAGCAGAAGAAGCACCGGCUAACUCCGUG
RNAcentral lists this ribosomal RNA (433 nucleotides) under uncultured bacterium. RNAcentral's name for it is "partial 16S ribosomal RNA". It matches the Rfam family "Bacterial small subunit ribosomal RNA", at positions 29 to 507 of the family's 1533-position model. The record is from RNAcentral.